This 652-nucleotide ribosomal RNA is filed under the name Enterobacter sp. Fma. Its description in RNAcentral is "bacterial SSU rRNA". It matches the Rfam family "Bacterial small subunit ribosomal RNA", at positions 30 to 674 of the family's 1533-position model. Lineage: Bacteria; Pseudomonadati; Pseudomonadota; Gammaproteobacteria; Enterobacterales; Enterobacteriaceae. The record is from RNAcentral.
UGAACGCUGGCGGCAGGCCUAACUCAUGCACGUCGAACGGUAGCACAGGGAGCUUGCUCUCGGGUGACGAGUGGCGGACGGGUGAGUAAUGUCUGGGAAACUGCCUGAUGGAGGGGGAUAACUACUGGAAACGGUAGCUAAUACCGCAUAACGUCGCAAGACCAAAGAGGGGGACCUUCGGGCCUCUUGCCAUCAGAUGUGCCCAGAUGGGAUUAGCUAGUAGGUGGGGUAACGGCUCACCUAGGCGACGAUCCCUAGCUGGUCUGAGAGGAUGACCAGCCACACUGGAACUGAGACACGGUCCAGACUCCUACGGGAGGCAGCAGUGGGGAAUAUUGCACAAUGGGCGCAAGCCUGAUGCAGCCAUGCCGCGUGUAUGAAGAAGGCCUUCGGGUUGUAAAGUACUUUCAGCGGGGAGGAAGGUGUUGAGGUUAAUAACCGGAGCAAUUGACGUUACCCGCAGAAGAAGCACCGGCUAACUCCGUGCCAGCAGCCGCGGUAAUACGGAGGGUGCAAGCGUUAAUCGGAAUUACUGGGCGUAAAGCGCACACAGGCGGUCUGUCAAGUCGGAUGUGAAAUCCCCGGGCUCAACCUGGGAACUGCAUUCGAAACUGGCAGGCUGAGUCUUGUAGAGGGGGGUAGAAUUCCAGGU